AAAGCGUGCGCAGGCGGUUAUAUAAGACAGAUGUGAAAUCCCCGGGCUCAACCUGGGAACUGCAUUUGUGACUGCAUGGCUAGAGUACGGUAGAGGGGGAUGGAAUUCCGCGUGUAGCAGUGAAAUGCGUAGAUAUGCGGAGGAACACCGAUGGCGAAGGCAAUCCCCUGGACCUGUACUGACGCUCAUGCACGAAAGCGUGGGGAGCAAACAGGAUUAGAUACCCCAGU
Molecule: ribosomal RNA, 230 nt
Filed under: uncultured bacterium
Lineage: Bacteria
Description: partial 16S ribosomal RNA
Rfam family: Bacterial small subunit ribosomal RNA
Source: RNAcentral